This 845-nucleotide ribosomal RNA is filed under the name Staphylococcus sp. M_A_08/10_9(1). RNAcentral describes it as "bacterial SSU rRNA". It matches the Rfam family "Bacterial small subunit ribosomal RNA", at positions 31 to 857 of the family's 1533-position model. RNAcentral also lists the same sequence under 2 other names. The record is from RNAcentral. Lineage: Bacteria; Bacillati; Bacillota; Bacilli; Caryophanales; Staphylococcaceae.
GAACGCUGGCGGCGUGCCUAAUACAUGCAAGUCGAGCGAACAGACGAGGAGCUUGCUCCUCUGACGUUAGCGGCGGACGGGUGAGUAACACGUGGAUAACCUACCUAUAAGACUGGGAUAACUUCGGGAAACCGGAGCUAAUACCGGAUAACAUGUUGAACCGCAUGGUUCAACAGUGAAAGACGGUCUUGCUGUCACUUAUAGAUGGAUCCGCGCCGCAUUAGCUAGUUGGUAAGGUAACGGCUUACCAAGGCAACGAUGCGUAGCCGACCUGAGAGGGUGAUCGGCCACACUGGAACUGAGACACGGUCCAGACUCCUACGGGAGGCAGCAGUAGGGAAUCUUCCGCAAUGGGCGAAAGCCUGACGGAGCAACGCCGCGUGAGUGAAGAAGGUCUUCGGAUCGUAAAACUCUGUUAUUAGGGAAGAACAAAUGUGUAAGUAACUAUGCACGUCUUGACGGUACCUAAUCAGAAAGCCACGGCUAACUACGUGCCAGCAGCCGCGGUAAUACGUAGGUGGCAAGCGUUAUCCGGAAUUAUUGGGCGUAAAGCGCGCGUAGGCGGUUUUUUAAGUCUGAUGUGAAAGCCCACGGCUCAACCGUGGAGGGUCAUUGGAAACUGGAAAACUUGAGUGCAGAAGAGGAAAGUGGAAUUCCAUGUGUAGCGGUGAAAUGCGCAGAGAUAUGGAGGAACACCAGUGGCGAAGGCGACUUUCUGGUCUGUAACUGACGCUGAUGUGCGAAAGCGUGGGGAUCAAACAGGAUUAGAUACCCUGGUAGUCCACGCCGUAAACGAUGAGUGCUAAGUGUUAGGGGGUUUCCGCCCCUUAGUGCUGCAGCUAACG